GACGAACGCUGGCGGCGUGCUUAACACAUGCAAGUCGAACGGAAAGGCCCUGCUUUUGUGGGGUGCUCGAGUGGCGAACGGGUGAGUAACACGUGAGUAACCUGCCCCUGACUUUGGGAUAACUUCAGGAAACUGGGGCUAAUACCGGAUAGGAGCUCCUGCUGCAUGGUGGGGGGUGGAAAGUUUCGGCGGGUGGGGAUGGACUCGCGGCUUAUCAGCUUGUUGGUUGGGUAGUGGCUUACCAAGGCUUUGACGGGUAGCCGGCCUGAGAGGGUGACCGGCCACAUUGGGACUGAGAUACGGACCAGACUCCUACGGGAGGCAGCAGUGGGGAAUAUUGCACAAUGGGCGGAAGCCUGAUGCAGCAACGCCGCGUGUGGGAUGACGGCCUUCGGGUUGUAAAAAGCUUUCGCCUGUGACGAAGCGUGAGUGACGGUAAUGGGUAAAGAAGCACCGGCUAACUACGUG
Molecule: ribosomal RNA, 468 nt
Filed under: uncultured bacterium
Lineage: Bacteria
Description: partial 16S ribosomal RNA
Rfam family: Bacterial small subunit ribosomal RNA
Source: RNAcentral